GUAAAAGUGCAGAACCAGUAUAUCGUGAUGCAAAAGGGAAAGCUAUUUCAAAGGAAGAGCUACUGAAACCAAAGGAGGAAGAGAAACCAAAGG
Zingiber officinale is the source of this 93-nucleotide long non-coding RNA. RefSeq lists it as uncharacterized. The record is from RefSeq and is a predicted model, not a curated record. NCBI's taxonomy places the organism in Eukaryota, Viridiplantae, Streptophyta, Magnoliopsida, Zingiberales, Zingiberaceae. The transcript has 2 exons.